GACGAGUGGAACUCCAUGUGUAGCGGUGAAAUGCGUAGAUAUAUGGAGGAACACCAGUGGCGAAGGCGGCUGUCUGGUCUGUAACUGACGCUGAGGCUCGAAAGUGUGGGGAGCAAACAGGAUUAGAUACCCUGGUAGUCCAUGCCGUAAACGAUGAAUGCUAAGUGUUGGAGGGUUUCCGCCCUUCAGUGCUGCAGCUAACGCAUUAAGCACUCCGCCUGGGGAGUACGGCCGCAAGGUUGAAACUCAAAGGAAUUGACGGGGGCCCGCACAAGCGGUGGAGCAUGUGGUUUAAUUUGAAGCUACGCGAAGAACCUUACCAGGUCUUGACAUCCUUUGAACAUUUUAGAGAUUAGGCUUUCCCUUCGGGGGCAAAGAUACAGGUGGUGCAUGGUUGUCGUCAGCUCGUGUCGUGAGAUGUUGGGUUAAGUCCCGCAACGAGCGCAACCCUUAUUGUUAGUUGCCAUCAUUCAGUUGGGCACUCUAGCAAGACUGCCGGUGACAAACCGGAGGAAGGUGGGGAUGACGUCAAAUCAUCAUGCCCCUUAUGACCUGGGCUACACACGUGCUACAAUGGGAAGUACAACGAGUUGCGAAGUCGCGAGGGUAAGCUAAUCUUUUAAAGCCUUUCUCAGUUCGGAUUGCAGGCUGCAACUUGCCUACAUGAAGUCGGAAUCGCUAGUAAUCGCGGAUCAGCACGCCGCGGUGAAUACGUUCCCGGGCCUUGUACACACCGCCCGUCACACCCCGAGAGUUUGUAACACCCGAAGUCGGUGGGGUAACCUUUUUGGAGCCAGCCGCCUAAGGUGGACUAGAUGAUAGGGAAG
RNAcentral lists this ribosomal RNA (827 nucleotides) under Enterococcus faecium. RNAcentral's name for it is "bacterial SSU rRNA". It matches the Rfam family "Bacterial small subunit ribosomal RNA", at positions 657 to 1482 of the family's 1533-position model. Lineage: Bacteria; Bacillati; Bacillota; Bacilli; Lactobacillales; Enterococcaceae. The record is from RNAcentral.